UUCCGAUGAUGAUGCAGCCAUGCUAAUACUGAUGCACCAGGCUGGCUGUGUGUCUGUCUGGGUGUAAGUGAGUUCAUCUCACCUUCUCACACUGACAGUGUGCACUGAGGAGC
Small nucleolar RNA from Megalops cyprinoides (Indo-Pacific tarpon), 113 nucleotides. NCBI's taxonomy places the organism in Eukaryota, Metazoa, Chordata, Actinopteri, Elopiformes, Megalopidae. The record is from RefSeq and is a predicted model, not a curated record.